UCGUAUACGUAAUUCCUGCUAUAAUUAUUUAACGUUAUUUUCUUAACUAUAUCCACUUUAUGGUAAAUUAUUUACUUUAUCUGGCUCGCUUAUUGAGUUACUUGUUUUGUUCGAAUAACGGCUGUUUUGAAAAGUUUACAUGAGGGCGCUGUAACUUUGAAUCGAGAGCUUCUGGGUAAUUUGGCAGUUGAAUUGUUGCGUCUCUUGGAAGCGUCGUGUUUGGUAUAUUAAUUUAUGGAAAUUUCAUUUGUUUGUGAUUAUUGAAGUGCUAGAUUAUUUGAUACAUCCACAAAUGCUGUACUACUCUGAUUGUAUUAAGAUGAUACCGUGGACAAGGUUCCUCGCGAAUCGAGACACCAGACCACUUGAAGCGAUGCUGUUCCUCCAGCAUCCAUGUCCCACUUGAAAAACUAGCCGAGCAAAAGGCAAAUGGCGAAGAGUAGAAGAAUCUGGGAAGCUGAAACAAAAGAAGAAAAAAUCCAUACUCGUAUAUAACGUGUGUGGCUGCGUGCAUGUGCGCUAUCUAACGAAAUCUACGCUUCAAAUCUACUGCUCGCAGAGGGGUGCUCUCUGCCAUUAAAUAUCAUCCCUAGGCAAGUUCAUAAUGGCGCAAACCGAUAUGGGAUCAUCAACAGUCAUCCCUAUUGCCUUACUGGAAGUAUGACUAGGCAUCAGACGUCCUCCAAUCACGAAAUUCUUCAAAGAUGUCGCAGUGCGUUUUAACGCGUGGAAAAUACGACGUGGAUAUCGCAGACGCCUUUUAAAAUUUGCUGGCUCGUUCCUAUCAACUUGAUGACGCGUCAUCGAGAUACUUUGGCGAAAAAAGUGAUUUCUUGGCAAGAUAAAGAUUCCGUUUGCUAUGGAGUGAAGCUUCGUUUGUGGGAUUUUUGAAGUUUUUGACAAACAAAAUUAUACAUCAGAUACAAGACUUGACAAGUCAUUCAAUAUCCCUGGAGCAUUGAGAUAGAACCAGUAACUGUCCCAUUGGAUGGGAUUUAAUUCAGGGAUGCUGGAAGAUCGUAUCCUGAAACAUCCAGUUCAUCGAGUUCAUCUAUAAGAAGUCACCAUGAGCUACAGAAUCCGGCACUGUGAAAUUUAAACUCUCUCUCUCUCUCUCGUUCGAUUCUCCAUUCAAUGGAAAUUGGAGAAUAAGACUUAAUCGGUCAUUCAAUCCUGGAAGCUGCAUCCAGAAAAUCUGAAGGAUUCUUCUCUACAAGGUAUUCCACGUAUGACUGUCCCGGGGUAAGUCAUAAAUUCCUUUCAUGGCCCUCGAGUGGCAGUUCCAUAAGUAAUCCAAUCUUGGGUAUUCCGUACAUAACUCCCGUCACAUGCAUACAUGUACGUGCAGUUGCGCUGAAACGUCCUGUACCUUUUCCCAACCGGCAAUCACGUCGCACCUGAAUCGGUCUGUAUCCCGGAUUCUAGUACCACUUCGGAGCCUUCCAUUUUAUUAAUAUAUUACUCUGCAAAAAUUCAUGUUUUCCAGUCGAUAUUCAGAGAAUAUGCCUGGACUCCUGAGGUUGUAAAUUUUCAACGCUGUAUCAACUAUAUAUCUAGUUAGAACUGCCCACGUACGCGUUCCAUUGUUACUUUGCGUGAGCUACAGCCAUUAUACAGAUUUUGAGAAUAAUAGAUGUAUAUCGAUCAAUCAGAAGAGAUCAAUAUAUAUGUAGAGGAUUUAUGGGAAUUAUUGAAUAUCCAAUUUCAUAUUAUAAUACUCAAUUAUUUUUUAUCCGUAUUGUUCACUGGUCUUCCUAGUCGUUCAAUUCUCUUUUCCUAUAGUCUUGAAAACAGAUGGUAAUGGAUAAAUCUUGUAUAGAUAAUUGACAGCUGUCUUGCUCAUCAUUUUCAUAAUCUGUUGUACAGUCAAACGUUUCUGAUCUCGAAGAAAUUAUUCUAACCAAAAUUCUCGUAGUGUCACGUCAGAACGGCCUGACACGUUAGUCACGUAACGUAGAGGGUGAUUUAAUUGAUUUAUGUUCGAUCAAAUUUAUUUGAACCUUCUGUCACUGGGGGAACCGAAGCAUGACGUUUUGACAUCAAUUAUUCGAUAUACCUCAAUCCCGACAAGAUUCAAUAUACAUAUAGAUAAAAACGUUGAAAAUACAUAAAAGGCUUUAAAGCACGGAAUAUUUGUGAACUUAAAAGAGAUGGCCGUGAAAUGAAUGAAUAAAAAAUCCACCAAAGGGUAAGAUCAAAGGAGAAGACCCAUAAGGAGAAUGCCCAUCAAAAUUACAAGGUGGCGAAUUCAAUAAGUUCCAGUUUGAAAAAUCAAUGCAAUACCGGAAGCGGAAGUUGUGCCUUGCUUAUCUCCGCUUUAUGAUCACUCCGAAGCGCGUCUCUAGGGAUUCUAAUUAUCCUCGUUACUAAAAUGUCCUCAAAGGUAUAAAUUGUAACGUGCUUCCUGUUUUAACCCACGUCAACCCUCUUCGACUUCGUCCCACUUUUGUUUAAUCUAUUCAGUAGCCACCAGGGCUUCGGUCUGAUUUCCUGAUGCUGUACGGUAGGUAAUUAUACGUGGAAAAGGCCCGGUUAGGUUUGAUCGAGACUUCACAUUUUAGGUACCCAAGUACAAUGUCACUCGUACUUGGGAAUAUUUUAAUAGACAUGAGAAUUUUUAUUUUUCACUUUCUUUAGACACUCUCAUAGGCUGCUGCACUAUUUCUUUGGGUCCCUUAAUGAAAAUAAUAAGCGUCUACUGCUUAGUGAAUUUUCAAUGCUACCAAACAGUGUCACCGCUACAGGAAAUUGCGAAGAAUGGAUGCGACGCUGAAACCUUGGGUAAACUUACGGGAUGCAGUUUACAAUUAGUGCAAGAGUGACUGGUGCGAUUUCGUAUUCGUUGCACUUUGGUGCCUUUCUGAGAUCUUUCUCAACGUGGUGCAAUAAGUUUCUGGUUUUACGAGUGGGGUCUCUGUGUAAGGCCACAAGAACUCAUAAAAAUGUGCCCGACCCUGUAAACCUACUAAGUUACCGCUGCAUUUGCCAGAUGCAUUUUCACUGUCUUAAGCACGUUUCGCUACUUUGUUUAUUUAUAUUUUCCUCAUUUUCAAUUAAGACACAGUGUUUAUGGCGAGAAGAUUUUUUAAUGCGUUGUAAUAGAUAUUACUUGAGAUUAAUAUCCUGGACGACGUUAUAAUUUAUUAUUUUUAAUUUACUUCUGUAUUUCUGGUAUAGAAAGAAAUAUACUGACUGACACAUCGAUCAUGAAAAUCAUUAGUUAGGUUAAUGUGGUAUUAUUAGGUUGAACUUUUUUUUUCGUUUCAAACUUUAUUUCUGCUCUCACGCGAAUCCAAAGCGAAGCAGCUGAUUUCGUUAAAAUUGAAAUCGUCAUAUAUUUUCAUAUCGAAAUUAUUCGUCUGCCAGCGAAUAUAAUGGAAAUCAUUCAACCUGCUGGAAAGCGAGUAAAAGUUUAAUGCUCGAUAAAUUGCGUAUAUUGUAUCAUAAAUCCAUGAUAUAUGUGCCCUUUGAGAAGUCUGAUUUAUGAUAUGCUAUCCUAGCGCGAAAUAAAUACGUUUUUGGCUAUUCGAUCAGCGUGAAAGAGUUGUAAUUUUUAUAACCGUAGGUAACUGUAAAAUUGUAUCGUUUUAAGGCUUAUGAAUACAUAAGCAACGUUGACGCAAUACAAUAAAUGACUUAUAAAUGUUACUACUGUAGUACCAUAAAAAAAAAAAAAUAAUAUAACCCAGGGAACUAUAAAACAUUAUAGUAAAUUGAAAAUGGCAUGAUUCAUCAGCUAAAAAUUUUUCGCAAACUCUUUACACGGAAACGCUCGGGCUUAACGAGUAUUCAUUUGUUUCAAAGUUCAACGUGAUACUGACAUUUAAAAAUGUUCCAAUGGCAGUAUAGUCACAAAGUUCGUUAUACCAGUAUCAUGAGAAAUGACCGUGCAGAGUAAAAAUGUUAAAGCAUCAAACACGAAAUAUCUUUAGAUACGUUUCAAAAGUAUCGAUAGUUUUAAGGCCCAAUGUUAUUUCCCUCACUCGAAAUUUUACGAAGUGUUUUACGGCACUGGAAUCGCGUAUUCAAUUUUUACGAGAACACUGAGUCUCGGCGAGUAGCUAAUGUCCUUCGAAAAUACUUGCUACAGAUAUCAAUGUACUUUUUUUUUUUCUCAUGCGUCGUAACGCGUCACCAGCAGUAAAAAUAAUGUCACGUGUUUACGAGGAAUUUGAUUUAAGAACAGAUUAUAUUAGGUACGAGAUAAAUUUUUACAUUUUAAGAUUCCAUUUAUGAUCAGGCAUUUCAUUCAUUUUCUUAUUUACGUAAUAUUUUUACACUGUGUUUAAAUGUAGAUACGAUAUCAAUUGAUUGCCAGCAUUUCUACAACGCUUAUUUGGUCCUUGGGUAAGUGGUACGAUAUUAAAAUUUUAUUUUUUUUUUUUAUUGAAAAGUAAAAUAUUUUUUCUCUCAUUUAUUCGUGACUAUCGACCGCGAACUUAUCUUGAAUUUUAUUGGUAUUUUAGGAAAAUUUUAAUCCUAUUUAAAUCUCGAUUUAUAUUAGCAAAGCGGGGAUGUUAUUUCAGGCGGAAGACUUGCCCUUGUUUACCCCAGUGUACUUCUACUUACUGUCUCUCGCACAAAGGAACUGGAGUUCAGGCAAACGAGUUUAUCAAAUUUUACCCGCAAAAGGGAAAAUAAUUAACGCUGCUUCUUCAGCUUUCCGAGUCGUGCAAUUCUAUGUCUUGACAUUAAACUUUCUUCACUUUCGUUAUUAACGCUCUGAACGCGCGUACCGAGCAUUCCCCAGAUCUGUAGGUAUUUUUGUGCGCGACCACAUCGUUCUUGGAUUAUGGUCCAGAAAUGGAUGCUGCGUCCCAUUAAAGUAAAUUUAAUUGGGUGCAUAAUGUUUAUUCGAAAAUUAAUAUACAUAUUUUACUCAUGAACAAUUAAUGCUGAAAAAAUCAUAUUAAUUGUUCAACGGUGGAUAAAUAUUUGUAUAAAAUAUUCCAAAUUUAUGUUAAACCCAAAAAUGUUUAUUGGAUUGGAAUUAUUUUUGCUUCCCAUUUUGUUCCAGUAUACGAUUUAUACUGAGAGUUGGGUCAUUCGUGUGUGAAGUGUAGAAAUGUUUGUAUAAACAGAUGAAUAAAGAAGAGUAAGAAGAAGAAAAAGUGGAAGGAAAAAAAAUGCGAAAACCGAUAAAGCACACUUCGUUUGGCCAACGCAUAAAACUCCUUUAUGAUGUUGCAAAGAAUCGUAAGAGUUUUAGAUCUUGGUUACCCAAGACGAUGUAGUUACGAACAGGAAGAAAACCGACGUAAAGGAAAUAUUAUCAAGACAGAUGAUAGAUUUUGGAUGACAUAAAAAAAGGAGAGAGAAAACGUCGAUAUUGAAAUCAUUAAGCGCCUCGUUAAAACACGUAUCGCGUAUUUGAUUGCCAAUAAAAAUGUUUCGUGCGAUAAGGAACUAUUUGGCAUUGUAAAAUCUAUUGUGCGUGGGCAAACAAGAUUUCAAUUUUCGGACAGCACAUUUCUGUCUAUCCUUUGUUUUUCCUGUAUCAAUCGAACUCUCCGUCCAAUAUCGUACAUUGCAUCGAUCCAAUGGACAAAUAAAGUCGAACCGUUUCUAUUUAUUCUUGCUGCACUCGGUAGAAAACAUCAAAAGGCUCGGUCGAGAUUUUUUUUAAAAUUUACACUCUACACUAUUGAGUGAAAUAUUUUCAAAAAUUCGUAGAAUUGUUAAAAUACGUUCUAUGUCGAGUCCUGAUAUAUAUUUAUCCUUUGCAAGGGUAUCUUGAACCUCUCAAUGUUAUACCCAGUGUUUGAAAAAUAUUUAAAAGUUUUAAUACUUAAUUUUGCCCUGUUUUCAGAUAUAUCCCCCACAGUUUUAGUGCUCAUCGAGAACUUAUGAAGCGCGAACGACCGUUCGGAGUCGUUAAAGAGGAUAUUUGGGCUGCUUCGAAACUUGGAGCUUUCUCAUAACGCCUUGGGUGCUUUCGAAGGAUGGAGUGAUUGUAUGAAGAAGUCAACGGGCGUAUACUUCUCACGGUACGCGUGGCGAUUUCGUAAAAUUGAUAAAGUUUCGCGAGAACUUUUAUAAUACCCGACCGGUUGAAGAAUUUUCAACUAUAUACACGAGGAGCUGGCAAUUUAUGUUCCACACUGCAGUUCCUGCGAUACUGCGCCACGGCUACUCCCGUAUCUCUAUAGCCACCAUAGAUAGAAGAGGAAUACGUGCUGUAGGAGUACCUUGUUACAUGAUGUAAUAUUUUACCUAGUUACAUGCGUAUAUAGGAUACACACAUUGGUAUAUAAUGUAUGUUCACAGUACAUCUACGGCUCGUAAAAUGUUGCCUGAUACAGAAAGGAUACACAGGAUAUUCAAUAGGUACUAGGAUGUUAUUUUUGCUUGUUGUAUCUUAGAUACUUGGGGAAAAAAGGUUGUGCUUUUUCAAUCCAUUAUAAAAAAAUUUGACUUUUUAUCAGCUCGUCAGUUGGAUCUCGUGCGAUACAAUGAUCCUCAUGGAAAUAAGUUUCUGUGGAUUUUUUGUUUCUUGGAAAAUCUGUCAGCUGCAAAGCUGUCGGUUCCAGUCGUUAGAAUUGAUACUGGAGACAGACAGUCUGAUGUGAAUACUUUCUUAUUAAUGAAUUUCUGAAUUAAUAUUUAUCUUUUUGAAGAUGGACGCAACUUUUUAUACUGUAAAGUUUUCGAGUAUUCUUAUGCUUGGUGAAUGUGUGUAGAGUAAAUUCUUCUAAGCUACGUAGUUGCACACGCGGAAUAUUGGGUCGGAUGCUGGAAGGAAAUUCAAGCAAUAUGAUAAACGGCACUGGCUAAGAUGUAUGACCAUUGCGAAUAGAAUACUUAACGGGAAAUUGAAAUUUGGACACUGGAUUCGUACUGUGAAACCGGCAUUUUUGGUAUGUCGUAAUUUACCUUGCGAUUUGAUCUCCAUGAGAAUCGUUGCGUAUGGAUAACUUAAUUUCGUGCAGCAUCAUGUAUCAUUUAUCUUGGACAAUACAGAUAGAUACGUAAUGCAUCAAAUGAUUUGUGGUUUAACAAUGCGUUCAAAUAAUGUUUCAUACGGUCGGUCAUUUCUGAUAGGGAUACAAGCAGCUUUCAUUCCUGCAUGAAAUUGCAUUAGUUGUAGCCAGAGUGGUAUCUUUUUAUUUUUAAGAUCUAUAAUGGAUUUAAUCACUGAAGUGGAAGGAACGUAAAUGACUUUUUCAUCAGCUAAUCUCCGGUAAUCCGUAACAUUGAACGCAAUGGUAAUUUGAGUAAAUAGGAAAUUAUUUAUAGAAAAAGAAAUUGUAGCAGUCGUGGAAAUUUAUCUUGAAUUCAAAGUUUUCAUUUUCUUCAGAUUAUUAAGUAUUUAUUGGUUUCCAGUUUAUGGGUGAAUCCAUCGUGUUUCUUACAGCGUACAGAAAGCGCAGGGAUUCCGAUAUCUCGUAAAAUUGUAAAAGAAUUCACGAAUAAGUAAUCCUGAGCGAGGUAUCUGAAAUUCUCGGUAC
Long non-coding RNA from Cephus cinctus (wheat stem sawfly), 7448 nucleotides. RefSeq lists it as uncharacterized. The record is from RefSeq and is a predicted model, not a curated record. NCBI's taxonomy places the organism in Eukaryota, Metazoa, Arthropoda, Insecta, Hymenoptera, Cephidae. The transcript is spliced from 8 exons.